UGUUUACAAAGGGCAGGGACGUAGUCAACGCGAGCUGAUGACACGCGCUUACUAGGAAUUCCUCGUUGAAGACCAACAAUUGCCAUGAUCUAUCCCCAUCACGAUGAAAUUUCAAAGAUUACCCGGGCCUGUCGGCCAAGGCUAUAAACUCGUUGAAUACAGAAGUGUAGCGCGCGUGCGGCCCAAAACAUCUAAGGGCAUCACAGACCUGUUAUUGCCUCAAACUUCCGCGGCCAAAAAGGUCGUAGUCCCUCUAAGAAGCUGGCCGCGAAGGGAUACCUCCGCAUAGCUAGUUAGCAGGCUGAGGUCUCGUUCGUUAACGGAAUUAACCAGACAAUACCUCCGCAUAGCUAGUUAGCAGGCUGAGGUCUCGUUCGUUAACGGAAUUAACAAGACAAAUCGCUCCACAAACUAAG
This 416-nucleotide long non-coding RNA is filed under the name Nicotiana benthamiana. RNAcentral's name for it is "long non-coding RNA (NBEN_LNC005838)". The record is from RNAcentral. Lineage: Eukaryota; Viridiplantae; Streptophyta; Magnoliopsida; Solanales; Solanaceae.